Molecule: ribosomal RNA, 253 nt
Filed under: uncultured bacterium
Lineage: Bacteria
Description: partial 16S ribosomal RNA
Rfam family: Bacterial small subunit ribosomal RNA
Source: RNAcentral
UACGGAGGGUGCAAGCGUUGUCCGGAUUUAUUGGGUUUAAAGGGUGCGUAGGCGGCUUUUUAAGUCAGUGGUGAAAUACAGCAGCUCAACUGUUGAGGUGCCAUUGAUACUGAAGAGCUUGAGUACAGAUGAGGUAGGCGGAAUUUAUGGUGUAGCGGUGAAAUGCAUAGAUACCAGAAAGAACACCGAUUGCGAAGGCAGCUUACUAAGCUGUAACUGACGCUGAGGCACGAAAGCGUGGGGAGCGAACAGG